UAACGCGAAGAACCUUACCAGGUCUUGACAUACCAUGAAAAGCUUAGAGAUAAGUCUUUCCCUUCGGGGACAUGGAUACAGGUGGUGCAUGGUUGUCGUCAGCUCGUGUCGUGAGAUGUUGGGUUAAGUCCCGCAACGAGCGCAACCCUUAUUAUCAGUUGCCAGCAUUCAGUUGGGCACUCUGGUGAGACUGCCGGUGACAAACCGGAGGAAGGUGGGGACGACGUCAAAUCAUCAUGCCCCUUAUGACCUGGGCUACACACGUGCUACAAUGGUCGGUACAACGUGUUGCGAACUCGCGAGGGCAAGCAAAUCACUUAAAACCGAUCUCAGUUCGGAUUGCAGGCUGCAACUCGCCUGCAUGAAGCUGGAAUCGCUAGUAAUCGCGGAUCAGCAUGCCGCGGUGAAUACGUUCCCGGGUCUUGUACACACCGA
Molecule: ribosomal RNA, 435 nt
Filed under: uncultured Lactobacillus sp.
Lineage: Bacteria; Bacillati; Bacillota; Bacilli; Lactobacillales; Lactobacillaceae
Description: bacterial SSU rRNA
Rfam family: Bacterial small subunit ribosomal RNA
Source: RNAcentral